GGUGGCUCAGCGGUAGAGUGCUUGCCUUGCAUGCAUAAGACCCUGGGUUCGAUUCCUCAGCACCA
Molecule: transfer RNA, 65 nt
Filed under: Dipodomys ordii (Ord's kangaroo rat)
Lineage: Eukaryota; Metazoa; Chordata; Mammalia; Rodentia; Heteromyidae
Rfam family: tRNA
About the family: Transfer RNA (tRNA) molecules are approximately 80 nucleotides in length. Their secondary structure includes four short double-helical elements and three loops (D, anti-codon, and T loops).
Source: Rfam by way of RNAcentral